RNAcentral lists this long non-coding RNA (251 nucleotides) under Nicotiana benthamiana. RNAcentral's name for it is "long non-coding RNA (NBEN_LNC025111)". Lineage: Eukaryota; Viridiplantae; Streptophyta; Magnoliopsida; Solanales; Solanaceae. The record is from RNAcentral.
GCCGCUCGCAGCUCCUCACCGGGGCAUCGGGACCCCUCCUCCGUACAUGCCCGAACCACCUCAGCCUCGCUUCCCGCAUCUUCUCGUCCACCAGGGCCACCUAUACCUUCUGUCGAAUAACUUCAUUCUUAAUCUUUUCUAGCCUGGUGUGCCUACACAUCCACCUAAGCAUCCUCAUCUCCGCGACCCUCAUCCUCUGAACAUGUAAAUUCUUCACGGGCCAGCACUCCGCCCCAUACAGCAUCGCAGGU